RNAcentral lists this ribosomal RNA (301 nucleotides) under uncultured bacterium. RNAcentral describes it as "partial 16S ribosomal RNA". It matches the Rfam family "Bacterial small subunit ribosomal RNA", at positions 509 to 807 of the family's 1533-position model. The record is from RNAcentral.
CAGUAGCCACGGGAAUACGUAGGGGACAAGCGUUGUCCGGAAUUAUUGGGCGUAAAGGGCUCGCAGGCGGUUUCUUAAGUCUGAUGUGAAGGCCCCCGGCUCAACCGGGGAGGGUCAUUGGAAACUGGGAAACUUGAGUGCAGAAGAGGAGAGUGGAAUUCCACGUGUAGCGGUGAAAUGCGUAGAGAUGUGGAGGAACACCAGUGGCGAAGGCGACUCUCUGGUCUGUAACUGACGCUGAGGAGCGAAAGCGGGGGGAGCGAGCAGGAUUAGAUACCCCCGUAGUCCCUGUCUCUUAUAC